AGCAGCCGCGGUAAUUCCAGCUCCAAUAGCGUAUAUUAAAGUUGUUGCAGUUAAAAAGCUCGUAGUUGAAUUUCGGGAUCAAUAUGUUGGUCGUGCCUUGGUACGUACUGGCAUUAUCGAUUCCUACCUUCUGAAGAACCUCGAUGUCAUUAAUUUGGUGUCUUGGGGAAUCAGGACUGUUACUUUGAAAAAAUUAGAGUGUUUAAAGCAGGCUCGCGCUUGAAUACAUUAGCAUGGAAUAAUGAAAUAGGACGUUUGAUUCUAUUUUGUUGGUUUCUAGGAUCGACGUAAUGAUUAAUAGGGAUAGUUGGGGGCAUUAGUAUUCAAUUGUCAGAGGUGAAAUUCUUGGAUUUAUUGAAGACUAACUACUGCGAAAGCAUUUGCCAAGGAUGUUUUCAUUAAUCAAGAACGAAAGUUAGGGGAUCGAAGACGAUCAGAUACCGUCGUAGUCUUAACCAU
RNAcentral lists this unclassified non-coding RNA (459 nucleotides) under uncultured Glomus. RNAcentral describes it as "SSU rRNA". It matches the Rfam family "Eukaryotic small subunit ribosomal RNA", at positions 569 to 1033 of the family's 1831-position model. Lineage: Eukaryota; Fungi; Glomeromycota; Glomeromycetes; Glomerales; Glomeraceae. The record is from RNAcentral.